AGUAGAUUGGGAAACUCGUCAAUUAUAUAUGAAAUGCCGAGAAAAGCUCACCAACCGAUGGCGGGCCUCAGCCGAAAACCUUGUUUCCGGAGCCUUUGAGCCGGAGGAUUACAAAGGGUGGCGAGCUCUCAAAUCCUAUUUUUAUCGGAGUUUCAUCGCAUCCUUUGAUGUGGCUCUU
RNAcentral lists this small RNA (178 nucleotides) under human gut metagenome. RNAcentral's name for it is "Bacteroidales-1 6S-Bacteroidales RNA suggested". It matches the Rfam family "Bacteroidales-1 6S-Bacteroidales RNA suggested". The record is from RNAcentral.